UCCUACGGGACGCAGCAGUGGGGAAUAUUGGGCAAUGGGCGCAAGCCUGACCCAGCAACGCCGCGUGAAGGAAGAAGGCUUUCGGGUUGUAAACUUCUUUUAUGAGGGACGAAUAAAGUGACGGUACCUCAUGCAUAAGCCACGGCUAACUACGUGCCAGCAGCCGCGGUAAUACGUAGGUGGCAAGCGUUAUACGGAUUUACUGGGUGUAAAGGGCGUGUAGGCGGGAAUGCAAGUCAGAUGUGAAAACU
This 251-nucleotide ribosomal RNA is filed under the name uncultured bacterium. RNAcentral's name for it is "partial 16S ribosomal RNA". It matches the Rfam family "Bacterial small subunit ribosomal RNA", at positions 337 to 602 of the family's 1533-position model. The record is from RNAcentral.